RNAcentral lists this ribosomal RNA (119 nucleotides) under Pteropus alecto (black flying fox). The record is from RNAcentral. Lineage: Eukaryota; Metazoa; Chordata; Mammalia; Chiroptera; Pteropodidae.
GUCUACGGCCAUGCCACCCCGAACAAGCCCGAUCCUGUCUGAUCUCGGAUGCUAAGCAGGGUCGGGCCCGGUUAGUACUUGGAUGGGAGACCACCUAGGAAGACCAGGUGCUGUAGGCG